Molecule: unclassified non-coding RNA, 171 nt
Organism: Junco hyemalis (dark-eyed junco)
Lineage: Eukaryota; Metazoa; Chordata; Aves; Passeriformes; Passerellidae
Source: Ensembl
UUGUCAGCCCUGGAGACAGAAGUCCCCUAUCAACAGAAAGGUUGCUGCAAUGCAAAGUGGCAAUUUGCAUUUCCUACAAUGACUUGCUGGUGUGCCAGAGCCCUGACCUAAAAGGACUACCUUUAAGCUUGACAACGUGGUUUAGUUUCCACACCUCAUUCCCAGCCUUGU